Molecule: small nucleolar RNA, 132 nt
Organism: Suncus etruscus (white-toothed pygmy shrew)
Lineage: Eukaryota; Metazoa; Chordata; Mammalia; Eulipotyphla; Soricidae
Product: small nucleolar RNA SNORA9
Exons: 1
Source: RefSeq, a predicted model, not a curated record
CUGCAAGCCUCCAGCGUGCCUGAGUCUGGGGUGACCCUGCGCAUUCCCACAGCGCUUGCUAGAACAAAAUGGAACGGUUUGAGGCCUUGCCCUGCUUCCUCCAGGGCAAGGUUAUAGAAAUUUUAGACAAUU